Molecule: ribosomal RNA, 1339 nt
Filed under: uncultured marine archaeon
Lineage: Archaea
Description: bacterial SSU rRNA
Rfam family: Archaeal small subunit ribosomal RNA
Source: RNAcentral
GUUGAUCCUGCCAGAGGCGACCGCUUUUGGAGUUCGAUUAAGCCAUGCGAGUAGAAUGAAAUUAGAUUCAUUGCAAACUGCUCAGUAACACGUGGAUAACCUGCCCUAUGCUCUGGGAUAACCUCGGGAAACUGAGAAUAAUACCGGAUAGAUCACAACGCCUGGAACGGUGUGUGGUUGAAAGGUUACGGCAUAGGAUGGGUCUGCGGCGUAUCAGGUCGUAGGGGGUGUAAUGGACCCCCUAGCCAUCGACGCGUACGGGUGUUGGGAGACAUAGCCCGGAGACGGAUUCUGAGACACGAAUCCGGACCCUACGGGGUGCAGCAGGCGCGAAAACUUCACACUGCAGGAAACUGUGAUGAGGGAACUCCAAGUGGAUGCACAUAGUGUAUCUCUUUUCUUUACUAUUAAUCGGUAUUGGAAUAAGGGCUGGGAAAGACCGGUGCCAGCCGCCGCGGUAAUACCGGCAGCUCGAGUGGUCGUCGCUUUUAUUGGGCCUAAAACGUCCGUAGCCGGUUUGGUAAAUCUGUGGGUAAAUCAACUAGCUUAACUAGUUGAAUUCUGCAGAGACUGCCAGACUAGGAACCCGGGAGAGGUGUGGGGUACUCAAGGGGUAGGGGUAAAAUCCUGUCAUCCUUUGAGGACCACCAGUUGCGAAGGCGCCACACUGGAACGGAUUCGACGGUCAGGGACGAAGCCUAGGGGCACGAACCGGAUUAGAUACCCGGGUAGUCCUAGGUGUAAACGCUGUGGACUUGAUGUUGGGGGGUGCUCCGAGCACUCUCAGUGUCGAAGCGAAGGUGAUAAGUCCACUGCCUGGGAAGUACGGUCGCAAGGCUGAAACUUAAAGGAAUUGGCGGGGGAGCACCGCAACCUGAGGAUUGUGCGGUUUAAUUGGAUUCAACGCCGGAAAACUCACCAUAGCCGACGGACAAAUGAAGGUCAGUGUAAUGAACUUACCGGAUUGUUCGAGAGGUAGUGCAUGGCCGUCGCCAGCUCGUGCCGUGAGAUGUCCUGUUAAGUCAGGUAACGAGCGAGAUCCCUGCCUCUAGUUGCCACCAUUACUCUCAGGAGUAGUGGGGCGAAUUAGCGGGACCGCCGCAGUUAAUGCGGAGGAAGGAAGGGGCCACGGCAGGUCAGUAUGCCCCGAAACUCUGGGGCCACACGCGGGCUGCAAUGGUAGCGACAAUUGGUUUCGAAUCCGAAAGGAUGAGGUAAUCCACAAACGCUACCGCAGUUAUGACUGAGGGCUGCAACUCGCCCUCACGAAUAUGGAAUCCCUAGUAACUGCGUGUCAUUAUCGCGCGGUGAAUACGUCCCUGCUCCUUGCACACACCGC